This 245-nucleotide ribosomal RNA is filed under the name uncultured bacterium. RNAcentral's name for it is "partial 16S ribosomal RNA". It matches the Rfam family "Bacterial small subunit ribosomal RNA", at positions 91 to 334 of the family's 1533-position model. The record is from RNAcentral.
CCGAGUGGCGGACGGGUGAGUAACGCGUGAGGAACCUGCCUCAAAGAGGGGGACAACAGUUGGAAACGACUGCUAAUACCGCAUAAGCCCACGACCCGGCAUCGGGAAGAGGGAAAAGGAGCAAUCCGCUUUGAGAUGGCCUCGCGUCCGAUUAGCUAGUUGGUGAGGUAACGGCCCACCAAGGCGACGAUCGGUAGCCGGACUGAGAGGUUGAACGGCCACAUUGGGACUGAGACACGGCCCAG